This 482-nucleotide ribosomal RNA is filed under the name uncultured bacterium. RNAcentral's name for it is "partial 16S ribosomal RNA". It matches the Rfam family "Bacterial small subunit ribosomal RNA", at positions 30 to 507 of the family's 1533-position model. The record is from RNAcentral.
AUUGAACGCUGGCGGCAUGCCUUACACAUGCAAGUCGAACGGUAACAGGUCUUCGGAUGCUGACGAGUGGCGAACGGGUGAGUAAUACAUCGGAACGUGCCCGAUCGUGGGGGAUAACGGAGCGAAAGCUUUGCUAAUACCGCAUACGAUCUACGGAUGAAAGCAGGGGACCGCAAGGCCUUGCGCGGACGGAGCGGCCGAUGGCAGAUUAGGUAGUUGGUGGGAUAAAAGCUUACCAAGCCGACGAUCUGUAGCUGGUCUGAGAGGACGACCAGCCACACUGGGACUGAGACACGGCCCAGACUCCUACGGGAGGCAGCAGUGGGGAAUUUUGGACAAUGGGCGAAAGCCUGAUCCAGCCAUGCCGCGUGCAGGAUGAAGGCCUUCGGGUUGUAAACUGCUUUUGUACGGAACGAAAAGACUCCUUCUAAUAAAGAGGGUCCAUGACGGUACCGUAAGAAUAAGCACCGGCUAACUACGUG